Molecule: ribosomal RNA, 479 nt
Filed under: Salmonella enterica subsp. enterica serovar Typhimurium
Lineage: Bacteria; Pseudomonadati; Pseudomonadota; Gammaproteobacteria; Enterobacterales; Enterobacteriaceae
Description: partial 23S ribosomal RNA
Rfam family: Bacterial large subunit ribosomal RNA
Source: RNAcentral
CCCGAAACCCGGUGAUCUAGCCAUGGGCAGGUUGAAGGUUGGGUAACACUAACUGGAGGACCGAACCGACUAAUGUUGAAAAAUUAGCGGAUGACCUGUGGCUGGGGGUGAAAGGCCAAUCAAACCGGGAGAUAGCUGGUUCUCCCCGAAAGCUAUUUAGGUAGCGCCUCGUGAAUUCAUCUCCGGGGGUAGAGCACUGUUUCGGCUAGGGGGCCAUCCCGGCUUACCAACCCGAUGCAAACUGCGAAUACCGGAGAAUGUUAUCACGGGAGACACACGGCGGGUGCUAACGUCCGUCGUGAAGAGGGAAACAACCCAGACCGCCAGCUAAGGUCCCAAAGUCAUGGUUAAGUGGGAAACGAUGUGGGAAGGCCCAGACAGCCAGGAUGUUGGCUUAGAAGCAGCCAUCAUUUAAAGAAAGCGUAAUAGCUCACUGGUCGAGUCGGCCUGCGCGGAAGAUGUAACGGGGCUAAACCAUG